This 443-nucleotide ribosomal RNA is filed under the name uncultured bacterium. RNAcentral describes it as "partial 16S ribosomal RNA". It matches the Rfam family "Bacterial small subunit ribosomal RNA", at positions 338 to 795 of the family's 1533-position model. The record is from RNAcentral.
CCUACGGGGGGCAGCAGUGGGGAAUAUUGGGCAAUGGAGGCAACUCUGACCCAGCAACGCCGCGUGAAUGAUGAAGGUCUUCGGAUUGUAAAGUUCUUUUCUAAGGGAAGAAGAAAGUGACGGUACCUUAGGAAUAAGCCUCGGCUAACUACGUGCCAGCAGCCGCGGGAAUACGUAGGAGGCAAGCGUUAUCCGGAAUGACUGGGCGUAAAGGGUGCGUAGGUGGUUUGACAAGUUAGUAGCGCAACUCCGGGGCUCAACUUCGGAACUACUACUAAAACUGGUGGACUUGAGUGCAGGAGAGGCAGUCGGAAUUCCUAGUGUAGCGGUGGAAUGCGUAGAUAUUAGGCGGAACACCAGUGGCGAAGGCGGAUUGCUAGACUGUAACUGACACUGAGGCACGAAAGCGUGGGGAGCAAACAGGAUUAGAUACCCUGGUAGUC